UUUAUAUUCAUAUAGGAAUAACCAUUACACUAUCUUUGUCUCUAUUGUAGUGUAAAAUUUUGUUUUUCCUUGGAUGUGUCAAUUUAGUUACAUUGAUGACAUCUGUAUUUUCAGCUAAAUUAGCCUUGACCAGCUGCUUUAUUGAUUGGUCCAAAUUUGUGGCACGUUUUUCAGAAAGACUUAUGAUGGGUUGGCGCACAGAAAUGUCAUAUUCCAAUCACGACAUGAGAAAUGGUUGGAUUGCCUGUCCUUCUAGGAGAUUCUCGACUGACAUUUUAUCGUGUUAUUGUGUUCCACGCUAUUUAGUUCCUCCUGGAGCCUUCUGA
Molecule: long non-coding RNA, 326 nt
Filed under: Mustela putorius furo (domestic ferret)
Lineage: Eukaryota; Metazoa; Chordata; Mammalia; Carnivora; Mustelidae
Description: lncRNA (ENSMPUG00000030769.1)
Source: RNAcentral